This 32-nucleotide non-coding RNA is filed under the name Rattus norvegicus (Norway rat). The record is from RNAcentral. Lineage: Eukaryota; Metazoa; Chordata; Mammalia; Rodentia; Muridae.
AAUGCCAGACCGUUUACAAGUUGUGUGGAAGA